UCUUCGAUGGUCUAGUGGUCAUGAUUUCCGCUUGUCACUGUUCACUAUUGAACUUAACAAGCGCGGGAGGUAUGUUUACGAUCUGGACUCAGCAUAAUGAGCGAUUCACUAACUUAUCACAGACCGGGGUUCGAUUCCCCGUCGGAGAG
Molecule: non-coding RNA, 149 nt
Organism: Dendryphion nanum
Lineage: Eukaryota; Fungi; Ascomycota; Dothideomycetes; Pleosporales; Torulaceae
Source: the annotation of a GenBank genome assembly